UUUCUUUGCUGGCGACCGGCGCACGGGUGAGUAACACGUAUCCAACCUGCCCUUUACUCGGGGAUAGCCUUUCGAAAGAAAGAUUAAUACCCGAUAGCAUAAUGAUUCCGCAUGGUUUCAUUAUUAAAGGAUUCCGGUAAAGGAUGGGGAUGCGUUCCAUUAGGUUGUUGGUGAGGUAACGGCUCACCAAGCCUUCGAUGGAUAGGGGUUCUGAGAGGAAGGUCCCCCACAUUGGAACUGAGACACGGUCCGA
RNAcentral lists this ribosomal RNA (253 nucleotides) under uncultured bacterium. Its description in RNAcentral is "partial 16S ribosomal RNA". It matches the Rfam family "Bacterial small subunit ribosomal RNA", at positions 80 to 334 of the family's 1533-position model. The record is from RNAcentral.